Long non-coding RNA from Cavia porcellus (domestic guinea pig), 286 nucleotides. RefSeq lists it as uncharacterized. The transcript has 2 exons. The record is from RefSeq and is a predicted model, not a curated record. Lineage: Eukaryota; Metazoa; Chordata; Mammalia; Rodentia; Caviidae.
CUCCGUCUCUGCGCUCUUCAGCAGCGGCUUGAUCUUGAAAAAGAGCUUCAUCCAUGGCCAAUUCUUGACACUCAUGAAGGACCGGAUGUUCCACUGGAUUAUCAGCAGGGAAUCUCUGCACAGGCCCACGGCAGGGGUGAGAGGCCGGGAAACCUUUUUUUGAGAUCUCGCACCUGCGUUCCAGUAGCUUCUUGUACUCCAUUCUGGAAAGCACACCCCGCGACUGCGCCUGGAUGCGUGUGAUGAUGCGGCUCAGCCUCUCAUCUCGCAUCUCUUCCAACAGCCC